CCCUUAGAUGUUCUGGGCCGCACGCGUGCUACACUGAUGCAUUCAACGAGUCUAAAACCUGGUCUGAUAGGGCUGGGUAAUCUUUUGAAAGUGCAUCGUGAUUGGGAUAGAUGAUUGCAAUUCUUCAUCUUCAACGAGGAAUGCCUAGUAAACGCAAGUCAUCAGCUUGCAUUGAUUACGUCCCUGCCCUUUGUACACACCGCCCGUCGCUCCCACCGAUUGAAUGAUCCGAUGAAUAUCAUGGAUUGAGGAUGCAAGUAGGUUCGCCUAUCUUCAUCUUCGAGAAGUGAAGUAAAUCUUAUCAUUUAGAGGAAGGAGAAGUCGUAACA
RNAcentral lists this ribosomal RNA (329 nucleotides) under uncultured eukaryote. RNAcentral describes it as "partial 18S ribosomal RNA". It matches the Rfam family "Eukaryotic small subunit ribosomal RNA", at positions 1470 to 1796 of the family's 1831-position model. The record is from RNAcentral.